RNAcentral lists this transfer RNA (74 nucleotides) under Flavobacterium sp. RNAcentral describes it as "tRNA-Arg". It matches the Rfam family "tRNA". From Rfam's summary of the family: Transfer RNA (tRNA) molecules are approximately 80 nucleotides in length. Their secondary structure includes four short double-helical elements and three loops (D, anti-codon, and T loops). The record is from RNAcentral. Lineage: Bacteria; Pseudomonadati; Bacteroidota; Flavobacteriia; Flavobacteriales; Flavobacteriaceae. RNAcentral also lists the same sequence under 10 other names.
GACCCUGUAGUUCAACUGGAUAGAAUAUCAGAUUUCGGCUCUGAGGGUUGGGGGUUCGAACCCCUCCAGGGUCA